ACCUUUUGGUUCCUGAGCCUGAUGGUCGGGGUUCAUGCCACUGUGUGAGAUGUGCCCCUCAAACGUCGUCACAGCGCCAGCACGUUACCUGUUGGUGU
This is a non-coding RNA of Fukomys damarensis (Damara mole-rat), 98 nucleotides long. NCBI's taxonomy places the organism in Eukaryota, Metazoa, Chordata, Mammalia, Rodentia, Bathyergidae. The record is from Rfam.